This 440-nucleotide ribosomal RNA is filed under the name uncultured bacterium. RNAcentral's name for it is "bacterial SSU rRNA". It matches the Rfam family "Bacterial small subunit ribosomal RNA", at positions 958 to 1398 of the family's 1533-position model. The record is from RNAcentral.
AACGCGAAGAACCUUACCUGGGCUCGAAAUGUACAGGAAUCCGGUGGAAACAUCGGCGCCCAGCAAUGGGCCUGUAUAUAGGUGCUGCAUGGCUGUCGUCAGCUCGUGUCGUGAGAUGUUGGGUUAAGUCCCGCAACGAGCGCAACCCUUACCUCCAGUUGCCACCAUUUAGUUGGGCACUCUGGCGGAACCGCCUCGGAUAACGGGGAGGAAGGUGGGGAUGACGUCAAGUCCUCAUGGCCUUUAUGUCCAGGGCUACACACGUGCUACAAUGGCCGGUACAAACCGUUGCAAACCCGCGAGGGGGAGCUAAUCGGAAAAAGCCGGCCUCAGUUCGGAUCGCAGUCUGCAACUCGACUGCGUGAAGCUGGAAUCGCUAGUAAUCGCGGAUCAGAAUGCCGCGGUGAAUACGUUCCCGGGCCUUGUACACACCGCUAGUC